UAGGGAAUCUUCGGCAAUGGACGAAAGUCUGACCGAGCAACGCCGCGUGAGUGAAGAAGGUUUUCGGAUCGUAAAACUCUGUUGUUAGAGAAGAACAAGGACGUUAGUAACUGAACGUCCCCUGACGGUAUCUAACCAGAAAGCCACGGCUAACUACGUGCCAGCAGCCGCGGUAAUACGUAGGUGGCAAGCGUUGUCCGGAUUUAUUGGGCGUAAAGCGAGCGCAGGCGGUUUCUUAAGUCUGAUGUGAAAGCCCCCGGCUCAACCGGGGAGGGUCAUUGGAAACUGGGAUACUUGAGUGCAGAAGAGGAGAGUGGAAUUCCAUGUGUAGCGGUGAAAUGCGUAGAUAUAUGGAGGAACACCAGUGUCGAAGGCGGCUCUCUGGUCUGUAACUGACGCUGAGGCUCGAAAGCGUGGGGAGCAAACAGG
RNAcentral lists this ribosomal RNA (429 nucleotides) under Gemmatimonadota bacterium. RNAcentral's name for it is "Gemmatimonadetes bacterium partial 16S ribosomal RNA". It matches the Rfam family "Bacterial small subunit ribosomal RNA", at positions 355 to 776 of the family's 1533-position model. Lineage: Bacteria; Pseudomonadati; Gemmatimonadota. The record is from RNAcentral.